ACGAACGCUGGCGGCGUGCUUAACACAUGCCAGUCGAACGGAAAGGCCCUGCUUUUGUGGGGUGCUCGAGUGGCGAACGGGUGAGUAACACGUGAGUAACCUGCCCUUGACUUUGGGAUAACUUCAGGAAACUGGGGCUAAUACCGGAUAGGAGCUCCUGCUGCAUGGUGGGGGUUGGAAAGUUUCGGCGGUUGGGGAUGGACUCGCGGCUUAUCAGCUUGUUGGUGGGGUAGUGGCUUACCAAGGCUUUGACGGGUAGCCGGCCUGAGAGGGUGACCGGCCACAUUGGGACUGAGAUACGGCCCAGACUCCUACGGGAGGCAGCAGUGGGGAAUAUUGCACAAUGGGCGGAAGCCUGAUGCAGCAACGCCGCGUGCGGGAAGACGGCCUUCGGGUUGUAAACCGCUUUCGCCUGUGACGAAGCGUGAGUGACGGUAAUGGGUAAAGAAGCACCGGCUAACUACGUG
This 467-nucleotide ribosomal RNA is filed under the name uncultured bacterium. Its description in RNAcentral is "partial 16S ribosomal RNA". It matches the Rfam family "Bacterial small subunit ribosomal RNA", at positions 29 to 507 of the family's 1533-position model. The record is from RNAcentral.